Molecule: microRNA precursor, 71 nt
Organism: Oryctes borbonicus
Lineage: Eukaryota; Metazoa; Arthropoda; Insecta; Coleoptera; Scarabaeidae
Rfam family: mir-34 microRNA precursor family
About the family: Human mir-34a was discovered computationally and later experimentally verified. The mature sequence is excised from the 5' arm of the hairpin.
Source: Rfam
UACAUUUUGGCAGUGUGGUUAGCUGGUUGUGUUACAUGAAUCACGGCCACUAUCCAUACUUCCGAGUUGUG